CAAACAGGAUCCGGAUCUACCUGGUGACGAACGUUCUCACCUGUAUACUACUAUCUAUUUACACACCUGCCGCCAAGUGGAGGACGUUUCAUUUCACACAAGAUCGCAGUGUACCCUGGACGCAUUUAAGAUGAAGAUUACGUAUCUGCUUCUCGUUGUCGGCCUGGUGUUAGUUUUGACCGACCGCUCCAGUUCUUUCAUAUGGAGACGAAACCGGCGGAUAUUCAACCCCUGUCGUAUCAUUGCCUGUACCCAUCACAAGACAAGGGAGGUAGAUCGUGACGACACCGUCGACGGCGACGUGAACAGCGUUAAAGACGAUGUUUCCCGGGACUUACCUCGAUUGCCUGAAGCUGAUCAGUUGGUAUGACCGGUGGAAUCACAGGACCACAUUAAUCCUGAUUCAGAAGGAUGACAUUCAGGAUGUCUCUAAAAAAUAACAUUACAGCACACCCAAAAGAAUGGCAUAUAUGGCAUUUGCGUUUGACAUUUAAUUUGUUAAAAUCCCUGAUUACAAUAUAUAACUCCUGAAUAUAA
This is a long non-coding RNA of Haliotis rubra (blacklip abalone), 537 nucleotides long. RefSeq lists it as uncharacterized. The record is from RefSeq and is a predicted model, not a curated record. The transcript has 3 exons. NCBI's taxonomy places the organism in Eukaryota, Metazoa, Mollusca, Gastropoda, Lepetellida, Haliotidae.